Long non-coding RNA from Pezoporus occidentalis (night parrot), 4178 nucleotides. RefSeq lists it as uncharacterized. NCBI's taxonomy places the organism in Eukaryota, Metazoa, Chordata, Aves, Psittaciformes, Psittacidae. The record is from RefSeq and is a predicted model, not a curated record. The transcript is spliced from 2 exons.
AAUAGUGAUUAAAAGGAAAGGUGGAAGAGAGGAGCCUGAAUGCAAAGGGAAGGUAUAAUGCCAAUAAGGUGAUUGAAAAAGUGGGGCUGGAUAUGGCUGUAGUAUCCUUAUGGGUUCAUGUCUGGUGUCAACAGGAGGGGACAGAAAUUACUUAAGCCCACAGGUUGUCCUGAGUCAUGACAACUUUUAAUGUAUGGCUAAAUAUGCCAUACAUUACAUACAGUUUCUUUACACAAAAGAUGUGUUUCAGGGUUUGAAAUACAAAAUGCACUUCUGACAUGAUUCGUGGAAGUAAUGGGCAUCAGAUCACCUUCAGAGGAAAAGCAGAUGCUGGGUGUAGAGAGACACCCACAUCCAGACCUGGUUUUGGAGUUAAAAUGUUGGAUGCUGCUGUUUAUUUCACUGAUGCAGCACACAGAAGUUUCCUUUAACUCGUAUUGUUGUUUUGUAUCAGAACACAUUUCAGAGAGAGAAGAGAGUCUAUAUAGCUUGCCUGAAUCUCUUGAGGAGUUUAGCAAGCACAGUCCUUUUCCAAAGCAGCAGGCAAGAGAGGAGUAGGCAUGUAAACUAUGCCUGUCUCUUGGAGAAGAGAUGCCACUUCUGCUGGAUUUAGCAGAAUUUUCUUGCUUUGCUUUGCAGGAUGAAGCCAAACUCAUAACUGCCAUGUGCUGGUGUUAUCUUGGUGUUUAUACUGUGGAUCAAAAGUGCUGUUAUGUUUAUCCCUAGCCAUCUGGGAAAGAGCAUCCUUAUUGUGCACUUUUUCAGUUAGUGAUGUUUAAAUAUACAAGCAGCUGAUUAACACAAUGAAAGGGAAAGACUGAGUCCAAGUCUAAGGGAGGCUAAGCUGGUCUUUCCUAAUUUUAAAGAUACAGCUGAUCUCUGUGUGUGCAAACCUUUCUGAUACUGGCAGCAGUGUGAAAGCUGCUGAGGUUCAGGUGGGAGGCUUUGAACAGGAAUUGGUGCCUGUACUUCAGCUGAGUUCACACCAGGGGGGUUUAUUCUGCUCCUCGUCUAUUUUCUGUAGUGCUAAUGGCUACAUUUGCUUAAUGUGUUCAUCACAGGCAUUUGGUAAGAGCCAAGUCCAUAUUCAGAAUAAGGUUUAAAACAUAAUAAUAAUAAAAAAUAUAUAAGAAAUUAACUGCAUUCAUUAAUGCAGUGUCAGCUAAAUCCCAACAAAUAAAACCAUCCUCCACAAAAAGUGAAAUCUUUCCGCUUUAUCCAAGUAGGUCUUUAGGCAAAGAGACCUAAAUAUGAGCCUUGGAGCGCAGUGGUUAUCCCAAGAUUUUGUUAUUGGAUCAACAGUGUUGUGUGAAGUCCAAGGCUGAGAACUCUUCACAGGAAACAACUUGUAGGACAGACCUGGAUGAAGCAAUCUCCAGAUCGGUAUCGCCCAGCCUUGCCAAUGCUUGCACGUGUACUGUCAGUCAUGCAUGAGGGGAGUGUGCGUUGUUGGAGAGGACAGUGUGUUAACUCGGGGCUGGACCAGGAGAACCUGCCAUGGCUGUCUGUCCAUGCAAAGCUGGCUGAGGAGGUCUGAGUCUGGCUAUUAAUAUUUUGCUGGUUGACCCAAGAUGGUUUGGAGGAGUAAGUCACUCCUGAAAGCUUGUAUUGCUUUGGAAGUGGUUUGUAGCAAAGCAAGCCCUUUGGUGUACUCCUCACCUGAGACUUUGAGCUGAUAGGCACCAAGGGAAGCAUUGUGCUCCACCUCUGGAAUAGACUGAAAAUGAAGAAUUAUUUUUUGUGUCAUUUAUGAAGUUGUCUUUUUCUAUGUAGAUAAAAGCAGUGACUGUGCACUGGGUGGAGGUUACACUGAGCAUAGCUGAUUAUAAUCCUCAUAGGGCAUAAGAAAGACUGGGUUUGGCAAGCCAUGUUCAGAUUUCAGCUGGGAUUAACCCUGCAGUCCUGCUGCUUUGCAAACAUUCUCCCUUCAGGUGCAGUUAACACCAUGAGAUGCCUUCUGCUUGGAGAAAUGCCUCCUGCUUGCUGUGGGCUGGUAUGCCAAGGUCCUGUCCCCAGUCUCCUCUGAAUCAAUUAGGAAAAGCAUAAAACAGGUCCCAGGACUUCAUUUGUCAUUUCAAAACAGAGUGGAUCUCCCUUGUAUCUCUGUCCCUAUCCUUCUCAUGGUUGCGAUAAACAAUGCGUCAUUUUGUUUAUGGAGCGUGUAUUAGGGAAUGAAUUGAGUUUAUUCUGCAUCCAGCCAACAUGUGGUGAUCCUCUGAGGGAUGGGAAUUUGAGAAGGCAGCUUGCUGGCUUUUGGACUUGUUCUCCCACUUCAUUGUGUUUCUGUGGGCAACUCCCUGGUAAUAAAUGAGCUAUAAUAUCUGAAGAGAAGGACUUAUCUUGCAAUGGUAUUGUUUCAGAUUUACAAAGAGUUCAAUUCUGCUGCUGGUUGUCUUGAAUACAUUAUGUUCUCAGAAGUGCUUUUGUUAGAGUACACUAGUUUUGAAAUGGGUAACAUUUAUCAUAGAAUGUUUUGGGUUGGAACAGACCUUAAAGGUCAUCUAUUUCCAUCCCCCUGCCAUGGGCAGGGACACCUUCCGCUAGAGCAGGUUGCUCCAAGCCCCUGUGUCCAACCUGGCCCUGAGCACUGCCAGGGAUGGGGCAGCCACAGCUUCUCUGGGCACCCUGUGCCAGUGUCCCACUACCCUCAUGGGGAAGAGCUUCUUCUUAAUAUCUUAUCUAAAUCUACCUCUUUCAGUUUAAAGUCAUUCCUCCUUGCCUAUUCCUACCUGCCUUUGUAAAAGCUUUCUUGCUGGCUACUUUAGGUACUGCAAAGCUGCUCUAAGGUCUCCCCAGAGCCUUCUCUGAACAAGCUGAACAAGACCAGGUCUUUCAGUCUGUCUUCAUAGGAGAGGAACACCUCCAGGUGCUUCCUGGACAAAAGAGGGCUCUGAGGAGAGCAACCAUCCAGGUUGUUCCUUAUCCACCAAGUGGCUCAUCUAUUAAAUUGAUGUCUCUCCAGUACAGAGACAAGGAUGUCAUGCAGGACAGUGUCUUAUGCUUUGCAUUAGUCCAGGCAGAUGGCAUCAGAUGCUUUUCCCUUACCCACCAACACUGUAACCCCGUUGUAAAAGGCCACUAUAUUUGUCAGGCACAGUUUGCCCUUAGUGAAGCCCUGUUGGCUGUCAUCAGUCACCUUGUUUUCAGUGUACCUUAGUAUAGUUUCAGGGAGAAUCUUCUCCAUGCUCUUGCCAGGCAGCAAUGUGGGACUGACUGGUCUGUAGUUUGCUGAGUCUCAUUUAUUUUCCCUUUUUAAAAAUGAGGGUUGUGUUUCCCCUUUUCCUCAAGGUACAUAUAGCAGCUUUUCCUGUUGCCCUUGAUGUCCUCGGCCAGAUUUAAUUCCAUCAGGGCUUUAGCUUUCCUAACCUGAUCCCUGGCUGCUCAGACAAUUUCUGUGUACUCUUCCCAGGCAAUACAUUCAUGUUUCCACCCUUGGUAGGCUUCCUUUUUGUGUUUGAGUUUGUCCAGGCCCUCCUUGUUCAUCCACACAAACCUCCUGGUAUUUUUGCUUGACUUCCUCUUUGUUGGGAUACAACACUCCUAAGCUUGCAGGAGGUAUUAUGACAUUUUCCUUUGAAUUCUACGUAUACUAAGAACUGAUGCUGAAAGUUUUCCCUUGAAGAAUCUUUGCUUAAUGUAAAUUUGCUGUCCUGCUUUGCUGAAUGGUUCAGAACACAACAGUAUUUGUAUAGGCUUCUCAGCAGGUGGAUCUCAUUAGGCAGAGAUUUCUUUUACAGUGUUUAUUUCUCACCAAGUGGAAGGCAUUGAUUUAGAUGUAAGAUACUAAGCUUGCAUAAUUACUUAAAAUAAACACGGAGCUGUUACAAGACUGCUCUAAAAUUCAGUUCCUUCCAGAUAUGUGGAAAGUUGAGUGUCACCUGCCCCAAAACAUGCAUGUUUUGAGGCAGUUUGGUGCUGAAAGGUCUCUCUCAUUAAUGCCAAUGCUAGUGAGAAUCAGGCAUAAUCAAUUAGGAAAAAAUGUGAUUGAAGAGUUUUCUUUAGAGGACUGUCUUAAUAUGCAAGAGAUGAAGGAUGCCUCUGGGUAAGCUCUGCCAAUUUAUGCUGGCACAGGUGGGAGCUGUCUGCCUCUUUCUCUUAGAAGUUGCUGCAGGUGGGGCAGUUUGGCUCUUCUGCCAUCUCCAGUGCUUCCCUCCAUGGGCAGGCAUAGCAGUUAAAAA